This 253-nucleotide ribosomal RNA is filed under the name uncultured bacterium. RNAcentral's name for it is "partial 16S ribosomal RNA". It matches the Rfam family "Bacterial small subunit ribosomal RNA", at positions 524 to 776 of the family's 1533-position model. The record is from RNAcentral.
UACGUAGGUGGCAAGCGUUGUCCGGAAUUAUUGGGCGUAAAGCGCGCGCAGGCGGCCUUUUAAGUCUGAUGUGAAAUCUUGCGGCUCAACCGCAAGCGGCCAUUGGAAACUGGGAGGCUUGAGUACAGAAGGGGAGAGUGGAAUUCCACGUGUAGCGGUGAAAUGCGUAGAUAUGUGGAGGAACACCAGUGGCGAAGGCGACUCUCUGGUCUGUAACUGACGCUGAGGCGCGAAAGCGUGGGGAGCAAACAGG